CUUACAUUAUAUCAAUUAAGAAAAAAAUAAAUGUAUAGUGCUGAUUAUCAUCAAUUAUGGCUCAGUUUCAAAGACAAUAUACAUCAGAGAACAAAUAUUUCAAGACACUAACAAACAGAUAUUUCGUGAAACACAUAACACCUCUCAUGGUCAUUAGCAGCUCAAAAAGGAACCGUAAUGGCUGUGAAUAAGAGAACUUAAGAACAUGAAAUAUCAUAAGAAGAUACAUGGCUGUUCCAAUGCCACAAUCAAACUUUCCUCUGCAAGUUGUAAACAGGCUAAGAACUUCACUUUCCUAGGCAUUUUCGUCUUAAAUGGAAUCCACAAUCAACAAUAAUGCAACAAAUGAUGCUGUUCUCACAAGAACUUGCCCAUCAAAGGCAAAAAAGAUCUAAAAAAGUGACUGACAAUGAACAUUUUCAAGCGUUAACAUUUCCUUUUAUUCCUCAUUAAAGAAGAAAAGACUUUCGUAUAGCAUAUAUAUAUAUA
RNAcentral lists this long non-coding RNA (489 nucleotides) under Arabidopsis lyrata. RNAcentral's name for it is "long non-coding RNA (ALYR_LNC002611)". The record is from RNAcentral. Lineage: Eukaryota; Viridiplantae; Streptophyta; Magnoliopsida; Brassicales; Brassicaceae.